CCCUUAGAUGUUCUGGGCAGCACGCGCGCUACAAUGGUCUUCGCAAACGGAUGCAUUCUCGAAGGAGAAUGCCAAUCUUGGAAUCUAUGCCUUGGUCGGGACAGUUGCUUGCAAUUUUUCGACUCGAACCAGGAAUUCCUUGUAAUCGUGAUUCAUCACAUCACGAUGAAUACGUCCCUGCCCUUUGUACACACCGCCCGUCGCUCCUACCGAUCGAAGAGUUAGGUGAAUUGUUUUGAUCGAUAAGAUUUGACUAUGGUCAACUCUCGUUGUGAAAUUCUGUGAAUCUGACUGUUUAGUGGAAGGAAAAGUCGUAACA
RNAcentral lists this ribosomal RNA (319 nucleotides) under uncultured eukaryote. RNAcentral describes it as "partial 18S ribosomal RNA". It matches the Rfam family "Eukaryotic small subunit ribosomal RNA", at positions 1470 to 1796 of the family's 1831-position model. The record is from RNAcentral.